UGCCCGGAAAUUAUUGAGGGCUUUCGGC
RNAcentral lists this non-coding RNA (28 nucleotides) under Rattus norvegicus (Norway rat). Lineage: Eukaryota; Metazoa; Chordata; Mammalia; Rodentia; Muridae. The record is from RNAcentral.